CUCAGUAACACGUGGAUAACUUGCCCUCAGGUAGGGGAUAAUCUCGGGAAACUGAGGAUAAUACCCUAUAAACAUCCUUUGCUGGAAUGCUUGGAUGUUCAAAGGCAACGCCUGAGGAUAGGUCUGCGGCCUAUCAGGUUGUAGUGGGUGUAACGGACCCACUAGCCAGCGACGGGUACGGGCCUUGAAAGAGGUAGCCCGGAGAUGGACUCUGAGACACGAGUCCAGGCCCUACGGGGCGCAGCAGGCGCGAAAACUUCGCAAUGCGGGAAACCGUGACGAGGGAAUUCCGAGUGCUCAUACAAUGUAUGGGCUUUUCUGAUGUGUAAAAAGCAUUAGGAAUAAGGGCUGGGUAAGACCGGUGCCAGCCGCCGCGGUAAUACCGGCAGCUCGAGUGGUAGCCACUUUUAUUGGGCCUAAAGCGUCCGUAGCCGGUCAGGUAAAUCCUUGGGUAAAUCGUGCAGCUUAACUGUGCGGCUUCCGGGGAGACUGCCUGACUUGGGACCGGGAGAGGUUGGAGGUACUCCUGGGGUAGGGGUGAAAUCCUGUAAUCCUAGGUGGACCACCGGUGGCGAAGGCGUCCAACCAGAACGGCUCCGACGGUGAGGGACGAAGGCUAGGGGCGCAAACCGGAUUAGAUACCCGGGUAGUCCUAGCUGUAAACGCUGCAGACUUGGUGUUGGAGAUCCUACGAGGGUGUCCAGUGCCGGAGAGAAGUUGUUAAGUUUGCCGCCUGGGAAGUAUGGCCGCAAGGCUGAAACUGAAG
Molecule: ribosomal RNA, 766 nt
Filed under: uncultured archaeon
Lineage: Archaea
Description: bacterial SSU rRNA
Rfam family: Archaeal small subunit ribosomal RNA
Source: RNAcentral